RNAcentral lists this ribosomal RNA (427 nucleotides) under uncultured Alphaproteobacteria bacterium. RNAcentral describes it as "bacterial SSU rRNA". It matches the Rfam family "Bacterial small subunit ribosomal RNA", at positions 355 to 774 of the family's 1533-position model. Lineage: Bacteria; Pseudomonadati; Pseudomonadota; Alphaproteobacteria. The record is from RNAcentral.
UGGGGAAUAUUGCACAAUGGGCGCAAGCCUGAUGCAGCAAUGCCGCGUGUGUGAAGAAGGCCUUCGGGUUGUAAAGCACUUUCAGACGUGAGGAAAAGUUAAUAGUUAAUAACUGUUAACCCUGACGUUAACGUCAGAAGAAGCACCGGCUAACUCCGUGCCAGCAGCCGCGGUAAUACGGAGGGGGUUAGCGUUGUUCGGAAUUACUGGGCGUAAAGCGUACGUAGGCGGAUUAGUCAGUCAGAGGUGAAAUCCCAGGGCUCAACCCUGGAACUGCCUUUGAUACUGCUAGUCUUGAGUUCGAGAGAGGUGAGUGGAAUUCCAAGUGUAGAGGUGAAAUUCGUAGAUAUUUGGAGGAACACCAGUGGCGAAGGCGGCUCACUGGCUCGAUACUGACGCUGAGGUACGAAAGUGUGGGGAGCAAACA